Molecule: non-coding RNA, 21 nt
Filed under: Arabidopsis thaliana (thale cress)
Lineage: Eukaryota; Viridiplantae; Streptophyta; Magnoliopsida; Brassicales; Brassicaceae
Source: RNAcentral
UGUAAAUCUAUUUUCCUGCCA